GUGGGGAAUAUUGGACAAUGGGCGAAAGCCUGAUCCAGCCAUGCCGCGUGAGUGAUGAAGGCCUUCGGGUUGUAAAGCUCUUUUGUCCGGGAAGAUAAUGACUGUACCGGAAGAAUAAGCCCCGGCAAACUUCGUGCCAGCAGCCGCGGUAAUACGAAGGGGGCUAGCGUUGUUCGGAAUCACUGGGCGUAAAGCGCACGUAGGCGGCUUGUUAAGUCAGGGGUGAAAGCCUGGAGCUCAACUCCAGAACUGCCCUUGAUACUGGCAAGCUUGAGUGUGGAAGAGGUUGGUGGAACUCCGAGUGUAGAGGUGAAAUUCGUAGAUAUUCGGAAGAACACCAGUGGCGAAGGCGGCCAACUGGUCCAUUACUGACGCUGAGGUGCGAAAGCGUGGGGAGCAAACAGGAUUAGAAACCCUGGUAGUCC
Molecule: ribosomal RNA, 425 nt
Filed under: uncultured bacterium
Lineage: Bacteria
Description: bacterial SSU rRNA
Rfam family: Bacterial small subunit ribosomal RNA
Source: RNAcentral